GUCAUAUGCUUGUCUCAAAGAUUAAGCCAUGCAUGUCUCAGUACAAGCCAAAUUAAGGUGAAACCGCGAAAGGCUCAUUAAAUCAGUUAUGGUUCCUUAGAUCGUACCCACAAUUACUUGGAUAACUGUGGUAAUUCUAGAGCUAAUACAUGCAAACAGAGCUCCGACCGGAGACGGAAGGAGUGCUUUUAUUAGAUCAAAACCAAUCGGUGGCGGGUUCGCUCGUUAUCGUACAACUUGGUGACUCUGAAUAACUUUACGCUGAUCGCACGGUCAUCGCACCGGCGACGCAUCUUUCAAAUGUCUGCCUUAUCAACUGUCGAUGGUAGGUUCUGCGCCUACCAUGGUUGUAACGGGUAACGGGGAAUCAGGGUUCGAUUCCGGAGAGGGAGCCUGAGAAACGGCUACCACAUCCAAGGAAGGCAGCAGGCGCGCAAAUUACCCACUCCCGGCACGGGGAGGUAGUGACGAAAAAUAACGAUACGGGACUCAUCCGAGGCCCCGUAAUCGGAAUGAGUACACUCUAAACCCUUUAACGAGGAUCAAUUGGAGGGCAAGUCUGGUGCCAGCAGCCGCGGUAAUUCCAGCUCCAAUAGCGUAUAUUAAAGUU
This 610-nucleotide ribosomal RNA is filed under the name Trigonopterus sp. 1100 AR-2022a. RNAcentral describes it as "SSU rRNA". It matches the Rfam family "Eukaryotic small subunit ribosomal RNA", at positions 23 to 611 of the family's 1831-position model. The record is from RNAcentral. Lineage: Eukaryota; Metazoa; Arthropoda; Insecta; Coleoptera; Curculionidae.